This is a non-coding RNA of Macaca mulatta (Rhesus monkey), 1244 nucleotides long. Lineage: Eukaryota; Metazoa; Chordata; Mammalia; Primates; Cercopithecidae. The record is from RefSeq and is a predicted model, not a curated record.
CAUUUGAGUCAGUGGACUGGGAGAGGCAGACCCACCCUUAGUCUGGGUGGGCAACAUCCCCUCGGCUGCCAGUACUGCUGAACAAUGCAGGCAAAAGAAGGUGGAGGAGCAGACUUGCUGAGUGUUCCAACCUUCAUCUUUCUCCCAUGCUGGAUGCUUUCUGCCCUCCAACACUGGACUCCGGGUUCUUCAGGUUUUGGACUCAGACUUACACCAGUGGCUUGCCAGGGGCUCUCAGGCCUUUGGCCAUAGACUGAAGGCUGCACUGUUGGCUUCCCUACUUUUAAGGUUUUGGGAAUCAGACUGGCUUCCUCACUCCUCAGCUUGCAGAUGGCCCACUGGGGACUUCACCUUGAUCAUGAUAUCACACUGGUCCAUCACAUUGAUGACAUUAUGCUGAUUGGACCCAGUGAGCAAGAAGUAGCAAACACACUGGACUUAUAUACUGAUCCGUGGACUAUAGUCAAUGGUUUGGCUGGAUGGUCAGGGACUUGGAAGAAGCAUAAUUGAAAAAUUAGUGACAAAGUAAUUUAGGGAAGAGGUAUUUGGAUGGAUCUCUCUGAGUGAUCAAAAACUGGGAAGAUAUUUGGAUCCCAUGUGAGUGCUCAUCAACGGGUGACCUCAGCAGAGGAGAAUUUUAAUAAUCAAGUGAAUAGGAUGACUAAUACAAAUGUCAUGUAAAAUUAAAAUUAGCAUUAAGUGCAAAAAGGGUAGCAAAACACAUCCAGACUGUUCCUCUUCCAUUCGCUGACAAAAACUUCAGAAAUACCAACUGUGGCUGGGUGCGGUGGCUCACAACUGUAAUCCCAACCUUUUGGGAGGCUGAGGCAGGCAGAUCACUUAAGAUCAGGAGUUUGAGACCAGCCUGGCCAACAUGAUGAAACCCUGUCUCUACUAAAAAUACAAAAAUUAGCCAGGUGUGGUGGUGGGCACCUGUAAUCCCAGCUACUCAGGAGGUGAAUGCCGGAGAAUCAUUCGAACCCAAAGGGCAGAGGUUGCAGUGAGCCGAGAUCAUGCCACUGCACUACAGCCUGGGUGACAGAGCAAGACUCCAUCUCAAAAAGAAAAAAAAAAAAGAAAUACCAGCUGUGAAUAAACAUGUAUUACAUAUUGGGUUUUUUGUUUGUUUAUAAUACCUAAAAUAUAUAAACACCUUUCCCUUCUGAGAAGAAAAGAUGAAAGCCUGUAUCUUUCCCAUUAUACACAUGUACCUACAAAUACAAAUAUAUGUGUAUUUUUUAGAA